Meriones unguiculatus (Mongolian gerbil) is the source of this 1452-nucleotide long non-coding RNA. RefSeq lists it as uncharacterized. NCBI's taxonomy places the organism in Eukaryota, Metazoa, Chordata, Mammalia, Rodentia, Muridae. The record is from RefSeq and is a predicted model, not a curated record. The transcript has 3 exons.
CUCAUCAUGCAAUGAAGCACAUACCCUCAGAGCUUGAGAUCAGCGCCCAGGGGGAGGGGAGGAAGGAGGAAGCUGCUGAGAAGCCUCCAUCCCCUCUGCCCAGUGAAAUGGGAGGCUGGUCCAGGGGCACUGGCCACAGUCAGCAGAGGGCUUUGCCCAGGGGCGCCACCAUUUGAGCCACACCCUGCUGAAGGACCCAGAGCGUAGAUGGCACAGCCAGAUGGUGGAGCACAUGCCAGCACUCAGGAGACAGAAGCAGGAGGAACGAGCGUUCAAGGCCAACCUCCAGGCAAAUUUCCCAGACAGCUGGAGCUAUGUGAGACCCCGACUCGGGACAAAAUUAAAUAAACUGUAAGCCAGUGAUGGACUGUGACCUGGAAGUGAUUUCUGCCCUGACCUCGCCGGAUGAUGGACUGUGACCUGGAAGGGAAAAAAAAACAAAACACCAAUACCAUCGAAUGAUGGAAGACUUGAGGUGUUUUGACGGAGUGUUGGCUAAUCCCUAGCAACUGGCUCUCUCAGGAAAGAUACCCUGGUCUGCGGAAGUUGCCAAUCGCUGUGGUGUGACUACUUCGAGCAUGGCUGAACUGCCACUUGCUCCUGGUGGAGUGGUAGGUUGAUAUGGCCACUUCAUAAAACCGCUUGAGGAUGACCAUAAAGGAUCAGAGGCAAAUUCUACUCCUAGGUAAGGGUGCCAAAAGACACACAUUAGUUCCCGUGGGUAAAAACUGAAAACCUAAGUCUAGUGGUGGUGGGGUGUGUCUUUAAUCCCAGCCCUUAGGAGGCAGAGGCAGGUGGAUCUCUGAGUUCGAGGCCAGCCUGGUCUACAGAGUGAGUUCCAGGACAGCCAGGGCUGCACAAGAGAAACCCUGCCUCAAAAAACAAAAACGAACAAGCAAACAAACCCCUGAAGAACCAGAAUGCACACGUGGCAACAUACUCUCACAACAGAAUACUAUGCCACAGUGAAAACAGACGAGCAACUACACAGAACAACCAGAUGAGGCUCUAGCCUUAACUACGUAAGUUCAAAGCCAGGUGACACUCCCCUAGCCAGUGGCUACCUGGGGAGGACCAAACCAGUGUGGCUAGGAUGCGCACAAGAGACAGUUUCCUAGUUGGUCUCUGAUGUUGCAUCCUCCUAAAACCUGCAGAGGCCUCAUCUCCCUAGCUUCAGGGGCUGGAGCCAUUGCUGGCUGUGAUCGGAAGGCCCAGUGAGAAGGCAGCCGUGUGCAAGCUAAGAAGAAAGCCCACGCCAGAAGCCGGCCCUUUCAGCCGGCUGUUGGUGCUGGAUGUCCCAGCCUCCACAACUGUGAGAAAUGGGUCUGCUGCGGACGCUGUGACACAGCCAGUCAGGUUACACAGACGUGUUCAAGUGGUGAUUAUGCAUAACCCCUGAUUAAUACACUCUUCUGCAUGAAUUGCUUACUUCAAUAAAGUUCAUUAAAUUAA